RNAcentral lists this long non-coding RNA (689 nucleotides) under Carica papaya (papaya). Its description in RNAcentral is "long non-coding RNA (CPAP_LNC012898)". The record is from RNAcentral. Lineage: Eukaryota; Viridiplantae; Streptophyta; Magnoliopsida; Brassicales; Caricaceae.
GGAAUUCUCCCAACAAAGGCGGACGAACUUCCCACCCCGUUUCAAGAUGCUACCAGGUGCGAGAAGCAUGAAACUGUUUUCUCAGCGUCCUCUUUUAAGCAUCAAUCAACGUCUCUGUAUUAAGCUCAGCUUUUCUUCCGUACCUGAAGCCAAGGUACGAGUAAACCGUAUCUUAGUUUUGGCUGUUUAGUUGCUCAGAAAUAUGCGGAAUCAACCUCGCGAAUGUUGGAAUUUUUUAGUUAUCGAGAGUCAGUAAGCUAUUUAGUACUUACGUACUUCAUAGUCAUGCGAGAGACCGAGAAGACAAAAGUGGAAGAAGAAGAUAGGAUUUCAUAAUUAUUCAAUCUAUGAUGUAGGGUAGCGGGGAAGUUUUUAGGAGAACAGAAGAAAAGAAGCUAAAGCCUGCGGCGAAUUUUUAGUUAUAUGAAUCUGAUCCGACUGCUUCUAAUAUAGGCUUAGUUCGUCUAUAAACUGGCGAUGACAAGAAGUAUUAAUUUUAACAUUUGUUUUGCUGGUUGGUUGCUGUGAAAAUAUAGGACGAGAAGCUGAUUAAAUUUUUAGUUAUCUGGCUUGGUAGGGGUUUCCGUUUAUAUUAUUUUUUGGUUAGUGGGUUUUAGCUGGUAGUUGAGGUAAUAAAUUAAUUUGGUUCUCUCUUUGAGAAAAUGAACUUUGCGACAUAUUCUGUUUUC